AAUAACAUAAAUUUUCAAUGAAAACUAACUGCAUUAGUAGAAUUUGGAUUUUCUCAUUCACUACCAGAUCAUAAAUCAAAUUGACUGCUAACAUUUCAUUUCAUCAAAUUCAUCUAAACAAACCCCUAACUAUUAACAACCUUCUAACAACUUCUAACCGAAACCUUCACGCCCUCGUCACGAUAUAAUAGAACUGCCAGUUCCAAUCGAAUUGGAUUGGCGUUUUCAGCUCGGCAGCUACAUCCUGCUGCCGGAACUAGAAACCAAACAACCGGAGCCGGCAACGGUGCUAUUGAACGGAAAAACUCUAGUCUCAGACAUCACCUAGCAGACUCCACUUCGGAUCCGAGAAAGUCUUGCUCAACGCCUCGCUGGGACAUACCAACUUCCAUUAACCUGCAGAAUGGGGAUUUUGACAGAAAUUCCAAUUCAGUAACAAAACUUCAAGACCACGACAGAAGAGCUGAACAUUUACAAUCCAAUUAACAUAACUCAGUACAUAACAUUUCAAUUGUUAGCAAGCCAAUGAAAGCAAAAACAUAAUACAUUCAACCUGCAUAAUUUUUGAACCAACCCAAUUCCUUCAAACCAAAUCUCCUUUUCCCUCCUAACUGAACCAAGAGUCAUAUAACUUCACAUAACCAAUAACAAAAAAUCUGCACAACAAAAUCCAACUCUAGCAGCACACUAAAACCAC
RNAcentral lists this long non-coding RNA (697 nucleotides) under Lathyrus oleraceus (garden pea). Its description in RNAcentral is "Pisum sativum (pea) long non-coding RNA (PSAT_LNC038983)". Lineage: Eukaryota; Viridiplantae; Streptophyta; Magnoliopsida; Fabales; Fabaceae. The record is from RNAcentral.